RNAcentral lists this Y RNA (100 nucleotides) under Laticauda laticaudata (blue-ringed sea krait). RNAcentral describes it as "Y RNA (ENSLLTG00000004735.1)". It matches the Rfam family "Y RNA". From Rfam's summary of the family: Y RNAs are components of the Ro ribonucleoprotein particle (Ro RNP), in association with Ro60 and La proteins. The Y RNAs and Ro60 and La proteins are well conserved, but the function of the Ro RNP is not known. Lineage: Eukaryota; Metazoa; Chordata; Lepidosauria; Squamata; Elapidae. The record is from Rfam by way of RNAcentral.
AGCUGGUCCAAUUUUAGUGGUGCUUAUAAUUAUUGAUCCCAGUUCAUUAUAGGUGUCUUUGUUCUUUCUCCACUCCCUUGCUUCACCUGACUAGUCUUCC